RNAcentral lists this ribosomal RNA (492 nucleotides) under Paenibacillus polymyxa. RNAcentral describes it as "partial 23S ribosomal RNA". It matches the Rfam family "Bacterial large subunit ribosomal RNA", at positions 1426 to 2025 of the family's 2925-position model. Lineage: Bacteria; Bacillati; Bacillota; Bacilli; Caryophanales; Paenibacillaceae. The record is from RNAcentral.
CAGGUCGAAAUUCCUGUACCACCGUAAUCCGUUAUGAGCAAUGGGGUGACGCAGUAGGGUAGUGACGCGGACGGAUGGAUGUCCGUCUAAGCAGUGAGGCUGGUGUGUAGGUAAAUCCGCACAUCGUAAGGCUGGGCUGUGAUGGGGAGCGAAAAUUACAGUAGCGAAGGUCAUGAUCUCAGACUGCCAAGAAAAGCCUCUAGCCAGGAGAAGGUGCCCGUACCGCAAACCCGAGGGGGCCGCAGUGAAAAGGCCCAAGCGACUGUUUAGCAAAAACACAGGUCUGUGCGAAGCCGCAAGGCGAAGUAUACGGGCUGACGCCUGCCCGGUGCUGGAAGGUUAAGGGGAGUGGUAAGCUCGCAAGAGCGAAGCUAUGAACCGAAGCCCCAGUAAACGGCGGCCGUAACUAUAACGGUCCUAAGGUAGCGAAAUUCCUUGUCAGGUAAAUUCUGACCCGCACGAAUGGCGUAACGACUUGGGCGCUGUCUCAAC